This 487-nucleotide long non-coding RNA is filed under the name Mus spicilegus (steppe mouse). RNAcentral describes it as "lncRNA (ENSMSIG00000015752.1)". Lineage: Eukaryota; Metazoa; Chordata; Mammalia; Rodentia; Muridae. The record is from RNAcentral.
UCCUUUCCUCAGGAGUCCUCCCUUCUUCCCUCAGGCUUAGCUACUAGGGAAUGUGGCCUCAAGGUUUGUAAAGUGACUUCACAGUGAGGGAACUGCUCUAGCCUGCUGACAUCUUUAGAGGGCAAUGUACACUUGCUUGGAGCUAAUUCUGAGAUGCUUCAGAUGAACACAAUGGAUUAGUGGAUGGAUCUAUAGAAGCAGAUUAUAGACAGAGGCUGAAGAGGACUUCUGCUGGUGCUCACCAUUCAGCUCAGCUGACCACAGGAUGAGAGACUUCAGGAACAUGGUACACAGAAGACUCUAGGCAGUGGCUUAUUAAAUGAUUUCCCUUUGGAGCAGAGAAAGCACAGGACUGUUUUGGGUGGAGCUGUCAUUCUCAGGAACAUGGUGGCUACCCACUUGCUUCAUCUCCAGAGGACUAAGACAUUACAGAAGUGAUGUUACUGGCAUUUGUAUAACUGAAGCUGCCAACAGGGAUCACAGAUAA